Molecule: ribosomal RNA, 921 nt
Filed under: Escherichia coli
Lineage: Bacteria; Pseudomonadati; Pseudomonadota; Gammaproteobacteria; Enterobacterales; Enterobacteriaceae
Also listed under: 1 other name
Description: partial 23S ribosomal RNA
Rfam family: Bacterial large subunit ribosomal RNA
Source: RNAcentral
GGUUAAGCGACUAAGCGUACACGGUGGAUGCCCUGGCAGUCAGAGGCGAUGAAGGACGUGCUAAUCUGCGAUAAGCGUCGGUAAGGUGAUAUGAACCGUUAUAACCGGCGAUUUCCGAAUGGGGAAACCCAGUGUGAUUCGUCACACUAUCAUUAACUGAAUCCAUAGGUUAAUGAGGCGAACCGGGGGAACUGAAACAUCUAAGUACCCCGAGGAAAAGAAAUCAACCGAGAUUCCCCCAGUAGCGGCGAGCGAACGGGGAGCAGCCCAGAGCCUGAAUCAGUGUGUGUGUUAGUGGAAGCGUCUGGAAAGGCGUGCGAUACAGGGUGACAGCCCCGUACACAAAAAUGCACAUACUGUGAGCUCGAUGAGUAGGGCGGGACACGUGGUAUCCUGUCUGAAUAUGGGGGGACCAUCCUCCAAGGCUAAAUACUCCUGACUGACCGAUAGUGAACCAGUACCGUGAGGGAAAGGCGAAAAGAACCCCGGCGAGGGGAGUGAAAAAGAACCUGAAACCGUGUACGUACAAGCAGUGGGAGCACGCUUAGGCGUGUGACUGCGUACCUUUUGUAUAAUGGGUCAGCGACUUAUAUUCUGUAGCAAGGUUAACCGAAUAGGGGAGCCGAAGGGAAACCGAGUCUUAACUGGGCGUUAAGUUGCAGGGUAUAGACCCGAAACCCGGUGAUCUAGCCAUGGGCAGGUUGAAGGUUGGGUAACACUAACUGGAGGACCGAACCGACUAAUGUUGAAAAAUUAGCGGAUGACUUGUGGCUGGGGGUGAAAGGCCAAUCAAACCGGGAGAUAGCUGGUUCUCCCCGAAAGCUAUUUAGGUAGCGCCUCGUGAAUUCAUCUCCGGGGGUAGAGCACUGUUUCGGCAAGGGGGUCAUCCCGACUUACCAACCCGAUGCAAACUGCGAAUAC